ACAACACCCAGAGUGCACUGCGGGCUGCUCGGUCACGUGGCGGGAGGCAGCCAAUCAUAGCAGCUUCGCCUCGAGCUGGCCUGCGCCGGGCCUCUCUUAGCUACUCGGGCGGGAGAUGGCGCUAGUCAGAGUCGGGCGCCGCGGGGGCGGGGCUUAGCGGUACCGAUAGUACGUGGCCACCUGUGAGGUGGUUCGGCUCCCUCCAUGACACUGGUGUCCGCGCUUCCCUGUGACAUCACUUCUCAGCGCAGAAUGCAGCAGGCAGACGGCGCCAUGGGCGGUCUGGUAUAGGGUAUAUAGAACAGAAGAUGGAGAUGCUGCCAGUUGAUAAGGAGCAGUUAAUAAACCCAAGUUUGCGAUGAGCCUGAUAGAGAUUAACACCCAUUCGUUGCCCAGAAGCUAUACACAGAGAGAAAAGAAAACCCCUGACAGACGGGACAAAGAUACCCUGAGGAGACUUCCACCGCAGGGGUCGUUCCGUUUACCACAGAGAACUGAACUCCUGCCUGGUAACAGAAUACUACCGUAUGCCCUUAUACAGGGGUUACCCCCUCUCCCCCCCCUAUUCCAAUUGUAGGAAAGAAUUCUUAGUAUGAGGUGGGACACCGCAGGGAUCGGAGCCCUCAGCCAUUUUAUCCCAGUAUUCCCGGCCUCCUGCAGAGGGUUAUCAGCAAGGCCUGUAAUUUCCCUCACUUCUCUGACCUGUCCUACCUGGGGUUUAAUGACACAGAAGUCAUAUUACGGAGGUGGCUUCUCUGUUCCUGCACUGAAUUCUAACCUUACUCUCAUUAAUCCAACACCUGAACCUGGUGCUCUCUUCCUCUCAUAGAAAUCAUUCAGCUUGAUAAAAGCUACAAUCUGAUUGUUCACUAAUAAUUCUUCCAUUCAUCCUGUCCAAGUUAGACAGUGAAACAAAUGUCUGACUCGUUGCUAUGGGUUACUACAGAUUGGCCUCAGUAAUUAAAAUACGAAAUGUCAGUAGACACGUAUGUUAUUGAAUAAACAACACGCAAAAAAACCCAAACCUCAAAUGUUAAUACAGGUUGAGUAUCCCUUAUCCAAAAUGCUUGGGACCAGAGGUAUUUUGGAUAUCGGAUUUUUCCGUAUUUUGGAAUAAUUGCAUACCAUAAUGAGAUAUCAUGGUGAUGGGACCUAAAUCUAAGCACAGAAUGCAUUUAUGUUUCAUAUACACCUUAUACACACAGCCUGAAGGUCAUUUUAACCAAUAUUUUUAAUAACUUUGUGCAUUAAACAAAGUGUGUCUACAUUCACACAAUUCAUUUAUGUUUCAUAUAACCUUAUACACACAGCCUGAAGGUCAUGUAAUACAAUAUUUUUAAUAACUUUGUGUAUUAAACAAAGUUUGUGUACACUGAGCCAUCAAAAAACAAAGGUUUCACUAUCUCACUCUCACUCAAAAAAGUCCGUAUUUCGGAAUAUUCCGUAUUUCGGAAUAUUUGGAUAUGGGAUACUCAACCUGUAUUUGCACUACACAAUAAAAUCCAACAGUUUUAGAUCAGCCCCUGCGAUGUAAUAAUGCAUUACCCUUCCGAUUCCAAAUACAGGCGGCUGCGGGGAUACACGUCCUUGUAGAACGCUGUUUCAUGUGUAGUAACCUAUGGCGAUACCGUUACACCCUAUCAGACAUGGAAUCCACCUCUUCUGUCCCGCCGGCUCUUGCGCAAAGGCUUUUGGCCACUGACCUUACACCAUGCAGCCGACGCGCACUGCAAGGUGGUGGAGAAAAUGGGACAAAUUUCUGAUUUGCAACACUCUGGGAACGUGUUUAUUGUCAUUGUUUAAGUGCAAAUGUAUAAAUACGGCAAAGUGAAGACUCCAGGCUGCAGCUGAUGAAAGGCAGAAAAUAAGUAAUUUUCUGGCCAUAAGUGGCGUAGGCUAAUGGCGAUUUUUGAGGCAUUGGACCAUGGAAGUUACUUAGCACAUUGAUUACUGUGAAACUGGGCAAGAGGCUUAUUUCUUAAUUACUGUUACACACUGUGUCAGGCUAACACUCCCAGGCACUCUCCCAGCCAUAGAGUUAUUCAAGACUUAUAAAGGAGCCCGGCUCGGUGUGCGAGAGAGACCCAUCGCCGUGACCGCUGGGGAGACAACGGGGGUGCCAAGAUCCCAGCGUUAAUGACUCAGUUAUUAUUCAUGUUCUAGCUUCCCGUCAUUAGCACUUGCUGAAACACGUUACAGAUCAUCUCACAUACACAAGCGAUACGUCACUUAUUGAUGACAGACCACAGACCGACCCAAUUAUUUCCGGUUUAGAAUUCCCAUUUCCUCAACCAAUGUCAUAAGUUUGCAAAGAACCAAAAAAGACGGGGGGGAAAAAAGUUACAAAAAAGAAUGAAAAAGCUAUAGGCAAAAUGCAGUUCUGCAAUGGAAAAUUCCUGGUAUUAAUAGAAGCGAUUCAUUUUCCAUAAGUGGUAACCUGAAGAUUUGUAGUGGUGAGGAAAGGGCAAGGGUGCUUCUCCUAUGUUUGUGCGCCCAGACGGCUGGCUGCUAUCCCAGAAUCCGCUUAUACACUGAAGAGCGCAUUGGAAGGGGAGAGAGGUUCUAUGCCUGCGAGAGAACUGGACCCACUCCAGCAAAUUGUGGGAGAAAAUAAAAGUGGAAGGUACAAUGUAUAAAUUGCAAACAAAUGGUCACUAUUCCUAUGUCCGAGGGCUUCAUCCCCCAAUCUGCUUCCUCCAUACCAACAUCUGCUGAUGUUCUUGACAGUGGUUUAGGUUUUUCUUACCUCCCGUGGCCCAUUAAAUUUACACCACCUCAACAUUCUGCCGAGCAAAACAAUUAAAUGAUAUGCCUGAAUUCCCUCUUAAUUAAAUGUGGCUUGUUAAGGAACUUGCUGUGACCUGAUCCUGGGACGGAUACCUUACAUUCAACGUAUGUUUGGCCAUGGAACUCUAUGUGGUAUCGGUUAGGGUCAUUGCAUGGCAAUGAAUUGCGCUGCCCACUACCAUAAACUGUGUACACACCGGCGGUUUUAACGUCAUUAUUUUCUUUCUAAUUUUUGUGAAUGAUUAAAUGCGAGAAGAAAUUAGUAUAAACUGCGUUGCAUCUGUGUAUGUGUUGAUUUGCAUUUAACAACAUACUCAAAACAAAAACCGCUGUUCCCUUGAUCACGCCAAAAGCAUAUGUUAGCGCCUGCUAACCGCAUCUCAUUGCAUACAACGCGCUGUAAUUGAGAUGAAAGCAAUUUGCAAGUUUUCAGCUGCCUUAAGGCUCAUCAGGCACACCGAUAUGGGACAGGAAUCACCGAAAUAAUGUAGCACAACUUAAAUAACCAUAAAACACACAUAUUUACUCAUCUAUUUGAUACAAUGAUUACUAUUUUCAUAUCGGUUUACGUGUGCUUAUUUCUCAUCAUUAAACACGCAAAUUAAAAGAAGAAUUUACACACCAGUGUGUAUAUAACCGGAGCUUCCGCCGCAUAAUGUUAGGGAUGGAAUUUGCAAGAUAGUAGGGGUUUAAAAUGCUGGUAAUAAAAAAAAAAAAAAAAAAAAAAAAUAUAUAUAUAUAUAUAUAUCUCACAGAGCCAUAGUCUAUAGAAACACGGUACAUCUUUUAUUGUUGUAUUCAGUUCUCGUAAUGAAUAUUUAUCGACAGUGUUCUAUGACUUCUUAAUGUCAACAAAAGUCUUUAUAUUGCAUUUUGCAGAAUACAAACCAUCAUAAAAUGGUUUACAUUAUUUGUAAGAUUCAGCUUGUCAUUUAGAACAUGUUCCAUUUCUUUCUAAUUUCAGUUUCAUUAGCUAUAGUUUCACACAUCACAAAUCCAGGUCAAUACACAAUCUAUAUUCUCAAACAGAGACAAGCUUUAUGAUUUACUAAACACAGCGGCGUCACGUGACAGCGCCAAAUGCAUACAGAAUCAUAACACGACCUGAAAUCCUCUCAUCAGUUCCGGAGGGUCCUGUAACAAAUUGCUCUGCGUCGUCCCCUUCAUAAAUAACGUUCUACAGAGAUAGCGGCUACCUGCACUCUACAUGCAAAAUACAUUCAGCUACCACCUGCAGCAACGAUAGGGGAAGGACCUUUUGUGUUUUAGGGGUGUAGCUGCCGUCCGGGUAACAGGGUCAGAUUAAUAGCUAUGGUCCAGCCUUUAUGUUUAUCUCUGGAAAUUGAAAACAGGAUGGAAAAAAAAAAAAACAUUGAUCAAAUAGUUUUGUGUGUGGCGGAUCCUACUUUGCUGUAUCUGUGUUGGCUAUAACAUAUAUAUUUAAUAAAUAAUUUUAAUCUGCCGCAUACUUAGUAGCUUCAGCAGUAACCACCAGUAUUUCUCAGAUUAAUAUACAAAGAUUAUUGUAACGAUACCAAAAAUUGAUUCUUCGUUUUUGCUUUAAACCCAUGUUAAUAAUAAGGCCACGGUAAUUGUAUGAUAUUAAAUGAUCUUACACUCUCUCUGAUAUUUCUGUCACAUGCAUUUAAAAGAUCUUUAAACAGUCAAAGCAAGACAAACAUACACCACCAGCACUAGGUAUGUAUUCACAGCUUGUUUUCUGCCAUUACCGAAUGCAUGAUGAAAUACAGAUUUUGCAACUGUUUAUUGUA
Molecule: long non-coding RNA, 4559 nt
Organism: Pseudophryne corroboree (corroboree frog)
Lineage: Eukaryota; Metazoa; Chordata; Amphibia; Anura; Myobatrachidae
Exons: 4
Source: RefSeq, a predicted model, not a curated record